RNAcentral lists this long non-coding RNA (903 nucleotides) under Sorghum bicolor (sorghum). RNAcentral's name for it is "long non-coding RNA (SBIC_LNC009134)". The record is from RNAcentral. Lineage: Eukaryota; Viridiplantae; Streptophyta; Magnoliopsida; Poales; Poaceae.
CGUGGAGGGGGAUGGGGAGCAGGCUGGGCCGCGGGGUUUCGUGUGGGCCGGCUGCUGGGCUUGGCAAGGCUCCUGCGCGAGUUGGGCCGAGCGAGGUGGAUGGGCCAAGAAGCCAGGCCGGGUGGGUGGUGCAGGCCACGCAAGGGUGCUGGGCUGGUGCAAAGCGAGCAGGCCGGCUGGGCUAGAGAAGAAGGAAGGUUUUUCCAUUUUUGGAUUAAGCACAAAGGAAUGUCACAAGAUGGAUUCAAAGAGGGGAUUUAGGAAGGGAACCAAGUAGGUGAGAAAGAUCACAAAGGGUUAGAAAGGAGUUUGGAAGGAAUUCAAAGGAGUUUGAGACGUCCUCCAAUAGAAAGGUUGAGAAGGGAUUCGCUUCGCCUUUGAGAUAGGCUCAACGGAGAUUCGGGAAGACUUUGCUACAGAUUUUGCACUCCAAAAGAAACUCAAAACCAUAAACAAGACCCAACUUAAGACGACUCACGAACAAGAGCACUCGUCUACGAACAAUUCUAAAUGAAUGGGACGUUUUGUUAGCGGGUUAAGAUCGAGUUAGAUCUAAAAACUAUAUGCUUCUCAUGAUCACAGGAAAAAUUUUAAAAAGCUCGUAUUUUUGGUUUUCGUAAAAAUCCAGGAUGUUACACUGCAAUUAUAAAUUUCAGGCUGAUAAAUGAGAUCGGGAACCCCAACAAAAGAAAAACAAUAAACAAAGCGAAUUCUACUGUGAAUCUGCAACAAAAAUAAACAAAAAAAUUAGAGUAAUUAAUAAGGGACAGGAAAAGGUGAGAGGAUCAAGCAAAAGCUUUGUGCCAGCAAUGGAGCAGAGGAGAGGCCUCUCUCUCAAGAAUCAGUAAAAGAAUGCUUUGCGCGGGAGGAUCAAGCGAAUGCUUUGCGCGCGGAUGAGGGCAG